AUUGAACGCUGGCGGCAGGCCUAACACAUGCAAGUCGAGCGGAUGAAGGGAGCUUGCUCCUGGAUUCAGCGGCGGACGGGUGAGUAAUGCCUAGGAAUCUGCCUGGUAGUGGGGGGUAACGUCCGGAAACGGGCGCUAAUACCGCAUACGUCCUGAUGGAGAAAGUGGGGGAUCUUCGGACCUCACGCUAUCAGAUGAGCCUAGGUCGGAUUAGCUAGUUGGUGGGGUAAAGGCCUACCAAGGCGACGAUCCGUAACUGGUCUGAGAGGAUGAUCAGUCACACUGGAACUGAGACACGGUCCAGACUCCUAAGGGAGGCAGCAGUGGGGAAUAUUGGACAAUGGGCGAAAGCCUGACCCAGCCAUGCCGCGUGUGUGAAGAAGGUCUUCGGAUUGUAAAGCCCUUUAAGUUGGGAGGAAGGGCAGUAAGUUAAUACCUUGCUGUUUUGACGUUACCAACAGAAGAAGCACCGGCUAACUUCGUG
RNAcentral lists this ribosomal RNA (484 nucleotides) under uncultured bacterium. Its description in RNAcentral is "partial 16S ribosomal RNA". It matches the Rfam family "Bacterial small subunit ribosomal RNA", at positions 30 to 507 of the family's 1533-position model. The record is from RNAcentral.